This 5447-nucleotide small RNA is filed under the name Pongo abelii (Sumatran orangutan). RNAcentral's name for it is "retained intron". Lineage: Eukaryota; Metazoa; Chordata; Mammalia; Primates; Hominidae. The record is from RNAcentral.
AGAGUUGCCAGUAACGGACAUGGCUGCGGCCCCCGGAGGAGGGGACGUGAAGUGAGGAGGGGGUUGGGAGGGGAGAGGACGCGGGCGACGAAGACCGGCCCCGGGGCCCCGAUGUUGUGACUGUGACAGACUCACUGGGGUUUGUACAUGCUGGGGAGGAGCCUUCCUUUCAGGGGUGACCACAUUCAUCUGGGCAUGCCUGCAGUACUCUUGGCCCAUGGACCUGAAGGAGAAGCACCUGGGCGAGCCUCCCUCAGCCCUGGGCCUGUCCACGCGGAAGGCCCUCAGCGUCCUGAAGGAGCAGCUGGAGGCAGUGCUAGAAGGACAUCUCAGAGAGCGGAAGAAGUGUCUGACCUGGAAGGAGGUGUGGAGAAGCAGCUUCCUCCACCACAGUAACCGCUGCUCCUGCUUCCACUGGCCGGGGGCCUCACUCAUGCUACUGGCCGUGCUGCUGCUGCUGGGCUGCUGCGGGGGACAGCCGGCCGGGAGCCGUGGGGUGGGGCUGGUGAAUGCCUCGGCUUUGUUCCUGUUACUACUUCUCAACCUUGUGCUCAUCGGGCGGCAAGACCGGCUGAAGCGUCGGGAGGUAGAGCGGAGGCUGCGAGGGAUCAUUGACCAAAUCCAAGAUGCCCUCAGGGAUGGCAGGGAGAUCCAGUGGCCCAAUGCCAUGUAUCCAGACCUCCACAUGCCUUUUGCGCCAUCCUGGUCCCUGCACUGGGCCUACAGAGACGGACACCUAGUCAACCUGCCAGUCAGCCUGCUGGUGGAAGGAGACAUCAUAGCUUUGAGGCCUGGCCAGGAAUCGUUUGCUUCUCUGAGGGGGAUCAAGGAUGACGAGCACAUCGUCCUGGAGCCGGGAGACCUCUUCCCCCCCUUCUCCCCUCCACCCUCACCCCGGGGAGAAGUGGAGAGAGGGCCACAGAGCCCCCAGCAGCACCGGCUUUUCCGUGUCCUUGAGACCCCUGUGAUUGACAACGUCAGAUGGUGCCUGGACAUGGCCCUGUCCCGACCAGUCACUGCCCUGGACAAUGAGCGGUUCACAGUGCAGUCGGUGAUGCUACACUAUGCUGUGCCCGUGGUCCUGGCCGGCUUCCUCAUCACCAAUGCCCUGCGCUUCAUCUUCAGUGCCCCGGGGGUCACUUCCUGGCAGUACACCCUCCUCCAGCUCCAGGUGAAUGGCGUCCUGCCCAUCCUGCCCCUGCUCUUUCCAGUCCUCUGGGUUCUGGCAACUGCCUGUGGAGAGGCCCGUGUCCUGGCCCAGAUGAGCAAGGCCUCGCCCAGCUCCCUGCUGGCUAAGUUCUCAGAGGACACUCUCAGCAGCUAUACAGAGGCUGUCUCCUCUCAGGAAAUGCUGCGCUGCAUUUGGGGCCACUUCCUGAGGGUGCUCGGGGGGACGUCGCCAACGCUGAGCCACAGUUCCAGCCUGCUGCACAGCCUGGGCUCUGUCACGGUCCUGUGCUGUGUGGACAAACAGGGGAUCCUGUCAUGGCCAAAUCCCAGCCCAGAGACUGUACUGUUCUUCAGCGGGAAGGUGGAGCCCCCUCACAGCAGCCAUGAGGACCUCACCGAUGGCCUAUCCACCCGCUCCUUCUGCCAUCCUGAGCCCCAUGAACGAGACGCCCUCCUGGCUGGCUCCCUGAACAACACCACCCUGCACCUUUCCAAUGAGCAGGAGCGUGGCGACUGGCCUGGCGAGGCUCCCAAGCCCCCUGAGCCCUAUUCACACCACAAAGCACACGGCCGCAGCAAACACCCAUCUGGCUCCAACGUGAGCUUCAGCAGGGACACCGAGGGUGGCGAAGAAGAGCCCAACAAGACCCAGCCUGGGAUGGAGAGCGACCCCUAUGAAGCAGAGGACUUUGUGUGUGACUACCACCUGGAGAUGCUGAGCCUGUCCCAGGACCAGCAGAACCCCUCCUGCAUCCAGUUUGAUGACUCCAACUGGCAGCUGCACCUCACCUCCCUCAAACCCCUGGGCCUCAAUGUGCUGCUGAACCUGUGUAAUGCCAGCGUCACCGAGCGCCUGUGCCGAUUCUCCGACCACCUGUGCAACAUCGCCCUGCAAGAGAGCCACAGCGCCGUGCUGCCCGUGCAUGUGCCCUGGGGCCUCUGCGAGCUUGCCCGCCUCAUUGGCUUCACUCCUGGGGCCAAGGAGCUUUUCAAGCAGGAGAACCACCUGGCGCUGUACCGCCUCCCCAGUGCCGAGACAAUGAAGGAGACGUCGCUGGGGCGGCUCUCCUGUGUCACCAAGCGGCGGCCUCCCCUCAGCCACAUGAUCAGCCUCUUCAUUAAAGACACCACCACCAGUGAGCCUUGGCUACCUUGGCCAGCACCAGGCGAGACCUUCCAGAGCUUGGCAGGGGGGCUCUGCCCAGCCCCACCCAUUGCUAGGGAGUCCUGGGCAGAUGAAAAGUCAACUGCUUCCAAGUGCUCCACUCUGGCAGGGGCUGGAAUUGGGGACCAGGGCUGGGAUGGUGUUGACUGCAGAGGCCAGGAUUGUCCAAAGGAUGGGAAUAUGGUGUCUGCAUUCCAAGCCCAGUGGCAUUGCAGAGCCUUGCUGACCGUGAGUCCCAGGAAGUUUCCUCCUCUGGCAGGGGCUCCUCAGUGCCCUUCUCCAGGAGAACAGUGUGUUGCCUGUCAGGUCAGAGUGAGGGUGGGGGGCUGGUUAGCGACACUCAGGGUUUGAACUCUCUCCCCCCAGGCACAGAGCAGAUGCUGUCCCAUGGCACCGCUGAUGUGGUCUUAGAGGCCUGCACAGACUUCUGGGACGGAGCUGACAUCUACCCUCUCUCGGGAUCUGACAGAAAGAAAGUGCUGGACUUCUACCAGCGAGCCUGCCUGUCUGGGUAUUGCUCUGCCUUCGCCUACAAGCCCAUGAACUGCGCCCUGUCCUCUCAGCUCAACGGCAAGUGCAUCGAGCUGGUACAGGUGCCCGGCCAAAGCAGCAUCUUCACCAUGUGCGAGCUGCCCAGCACCAUCCCCAUCAAGCAGAACGCCCGCCGCAGCAGCUGGAGCUCUGAUGAAGGGAUCGGGGAGGUGCUGGAGAAGGAAGACUGCAUGCAGGCCCUGAGCGGCCAGAUCUUCAUGGGCAUGGUGUCCUCCCAGUACCAGGCCCGGCUGGACAUCGUGCGCCUCAUCGAUGGGCUUGUCAACGCCUGCAUCCGCUUUGUCUACUUCUCUUUGGAGGAUGAGCUCAAAAGCAAGGUGUUUGCAGAAAAAAUGGGCCUGGAGACAGGCUGGAACUGCCACAUCUCCCUCACACCCAACGGUGACAUGCCUGGCUCCGAGAUCCCCCCCUCCAGCCCCAGCCACGCAGGCUCCCUGCAUGAUGACCUGAAUCAGGUGUCCCGAGAUGAUGCAGAAGGGCUCCUCCUCAUGGAGGAGGAGGGCCACUCGGACCUCAUCAGCUUCCAGCCUACGGACAGCGACAUCCCCAGCUUCCUGGAGGACUCCAACCGGGCCAAGCUGCCCCGGGGUAUCCACCAAGUGCGGCCCCACCUGCAGAACAUUGACAACGUGCCCCUGCUAGUGCCCCUUUUCACCGACUGCACCCCAGAGACCAUGUGUGAGAUGAUAAAGAUCAUGCAAGAGUACGGGGAGGUGACCUGCUGCCUGGGCAGCUCUGCCAACCUGCGGAACAGCUGCCUCUUCCUCCAGAGCGACAUCAGCAUUGCCCUGGAUCCCCUGUACCCGUCCCGUUGCUCCUGGGAGACCUUUGGCUACGCCACCAGCACCAGCAUGGCCCAGGCCUCGGAUGGCCCUUCUCCCCUGCAGCUGUCAGGGCAGCUCAACAGCCUGCCCUGCUCCCUGACCUUUCGCCAGGAGGAGACCAUCAGCAUCAUCCGGCUUAUCGAACAGGCUCGGCACGCCACCUAUGGCAUCCGUAAAUGCUUCCUCUUCCUGCUGCAGUGCCAGCUGACUCUCGUGGUCAUCCAGUUUCUUUCUUGCCUGGUCCAGCUGCCGCCACUCCUGAGUACCACCGACAUCCUGUGGCUGUCCUGCUUUUGCUACCCUCUGCUCAGCAUCUCUCUGCUGGGGAAGCCCCCCCAUAGCUCCAUUAUGUCUAUGGCAACGGGGAAAAACCUCCAGUCCAUUCCCAAGAAGACCCAGCACUACUUCCUGCUCUGCUUCCUGCUCAAGUUCAGCCUGACCAUCAGCUCCUGCCUCAUCUGCUUUGGCUUCACACUGCAGAGCUUCUGUGACAGCUCCCGGGACCGCAACCUCACCAACUGCUCCUCCGUCAUGCUGCCCAGCAAUGACGACAGGGCUCCAGCCUGGUUUGAGGACUUUGCCAACGGACUGCUGUCGGCUCAGAAGCUCACGGCCGCCCUGAUUGUCCUGCACACUGUCUUCAUUUCCAUCACCCAUGUGCAUCGCACCAAGCCCCUGUGGAGAAAGAGCCCCUUGACCAACCUCUGGUGGGCCGUGACAGUGCCUGUGGUGCUGCUGGGUCAGGUGGUCCAGACGGCCGUGGACCUGCAGCUGUGGACGCACAGAGACAGCCACGUCCACUUUGGCCUGGAGGACGUGCCCCUGCUGACAUGGCUCCUGGGCUGCCUGUCCCUGGUCCUUGUGGUGGUGACCAAUGAGAUCGUGAAGCUACAUGAGAUUCGGGUCCGAGUCCGCUACCAGAAGCGACAGAAGCUGCAGUUUGAAACUAAGCUGGGCAUGAACUCUCCCUUCUGAGCCACUGGCUGUGGUGGCUGUAGUUGCCCCCGUCCCUGGGGCUAAAGCCAGACCCAUUUCUGAACAGGGGAGUUGGUAUCAUGAAUGUUUCCAGGUUUGCUCCUGCACCCGUGGCACUGGAAACCCAGCUCCCCGUGUCAGACCCCGAUGUCUUCCUGAGCCCUGGGGCUCACUGUGGAGGAGCUGACGGCCUGGGCCCUUGGCCAGUCCUGGCUCUUCCCUGGGCCUCACCAGGGACACUCUUGAAUGUAUGGCCUCAGGCGCUCCCUAGAGGGGCCCUCAACCCCCCUCACCUGUGAGCUACCCCCUUUAGGGAUCCCUUGCCCCCUUGGGGAUCCCUUGCCCCCCAGUGCCUCUGCUCGUGGGUCCCUGGACACGGCCUUGAAGCAAACCUUCUUUGGAGAAGCAACAGCAGCAGCCUUGGCCGACGCGUCCAACUCCCAAGGCUGCCGUGGAGGGCAGGGUGGUGGUGCUUGCCUGGAUGUGGCCCCGAGUGCCUCCCCCACCUCCCUCCCUCUGUGGGGGAGUCUCCCGCCUGAACCUGAAGAUGGAGCAGGGCCCCUGCUUCACCCUGGAGCCUCUUCCUGUGCCUGGCUCAAGCUGGCUGCCUGUCAGUCUUGGGGAAUCUGGCCCAGGUCUCCUCAGCCUCUGCCCCAGUUCUGGGAGAAGUUUCUACUGGUGUAUAUUUUUUACUGGAAAUGAGCCUUUUAGGAAUGAAUGUAGACUGGUUUGUAUUAAAAUGUGUCAAUUGCUAAGAAAUA